Molecule: ribosomal RNA, 253 nt
Filed under: uncultured bacterium
Lineage: Bacteria
Description: partial 16S ribosomal RNA
Rfam family: Bacterial small subunit ribosomal RNA
Source: RNAcentral
UACGGGGGGGGCAAGCGUUGUUCGGAAUUACUGGGCGUAAAGGGCUCGUAGGCGGCCAACUAAGUCAAACGUGAAAUCCCUCGGCUCAACUGAGGAAUUGCCUUUGAAACUGUCAGGCUUGAGGCCGGGAGGGGGUGGCGGAAUUCCCAGUGUAGCGGUGAAAUGCGUAGAUAUUGGGAGGAACACCAGUGGCGAAGGCGGCCACCUGGACCGGUUCUGACGCUGAUGCGCGAAAGCGUGGGGAGCAAACAGG